RNAcentral lists this ribosomal RNA (253 nucleotides) under uncultured bacterium. RNAcentral describes it as "partial 16S ribosomal RNA". It matches the Rfam family "Bacterial small subunit ribosomal RNA", at positions 524 to 776 of the family's 1533-position model. The record is from RNAcentral.
UACGGAGGGUGCGAGCGUUAAUCGGAAUUACUGGGCGUAAAGGGCGCGUAGGCGGUCGAGUAAGUCGGAUGUGAAAGCCCCGGGCUUAACCUGGGAACUGCAUUCGAUACUGCUUGGCUAGAGUAUGGUAGAGGGAAGUGGAAUUCCGGGUGUAGCGGUGAAAUGCGUAGAUAUCCGGAGGAACACCGGUGGCGAAGGCGACUUCCUGGACCAAUACUGACGCUGAGGUGCGAAAGCGUGGGGAUCAAACAGG